AGUGAACGCUGGCGGUAGGCCUAACACAUGCAAGUCGAACGGCAGCACGGUAAGAGCUUGCUCUUACGGGUGGCGAGUGGCGGACGGGUGAGGAAUACAUCGGAAUCUACUUUUUCGUGGGGGAUAACGUAGGGAAACUUACGCUAAUACCGCAUACGACCUACGGGUGAAAGCAGGGGAUCUUCGGACCUUGCGCGAUUGAAUGAGCCGAUGUCGGAUUAGCUAGUUGGCGGGGUAAAGGCCCACCAAGGCGACGAUCCGUAGCUGGUCUGAGAGGAUGAUCAGCCACACUGGAACUGAGACACGGUCCAGACUCCUACGGGAGGCAGCAGUGGGGAAUAAUGGACAAUGGGCGCAAGCCUGAUCCAGCCAUACCGCGUGGGUGAAGAAGGCCUUCGGGUUGUAAAGCCCUUUUGUUGGGAAAGAAAAGCAGCAGGUUAAUACCCCGCUGUUCUGACGGUACCCAAAGAAUAAGCACCGGCUAACUUCGUG
RNAcentral lists this ribosomal RNA (492 nucleotides) under uncultured bacterium. Its description in RNAcentral is "partial 16S ribosomal RNA". It matches the Rfam family "Bacterial small subunit ribosomal RNA", at positions 29 to 507 of the family's 1533-position model. The record is from RNAcentral.